RNAcentral lists this transfer RNA (85 nucleotides) under bacterium. Its description in RNAcentral is "tRNA-Ser". It matches the Rfam family "tRNA". Rfam says of the family: Transfer RNA (tRNA) molecules are approximately 80 nucleotides in length. The record is from RNAcentral.
GGAGGGGUCGGAUAGCGGUUUAUUCCAGUGGUCUUGAAAACCACCAGGUCGAAAGGCCUCGGGAGUUCGAAUCUCCCCCCCUCCG